CGGUGCAACAUCGAUGUUUCACUACAAAAUGCAAAGUAAGGUGUAGAGAAGGCAGCAGUCACAGAUUGUUUCUCUCUUAUAUUUUCAGCGCUCUUCAUAACAGAUAACUUCUGGUCAGCAGCUUCAUUGCCACCUAGGCUUCUCUUGAGGACUAUGAAAGACAUGAAGAGAAGUACCACCACUGGAUCCACUGAAGUAGCGCCACCAGUGCCACUGGUCCUGUCAUGGGGAGGGACCAGGAGCCUACAGAGGGAAUGGUCUACAGGGUUAAAAAAGAUCAUUAUCUUCAUGAAUGAGGUUCUUCUGUUUCAACACUGACCCAAAGAGAAGUUCUGAGGGAUGAAAGGUCUAUUACUUAUUAUGUGACCGGACACCUUGGAUCACCUGGGAACCCGAGUCAGCUCAGAUGUGAGGAGAAGUGGGCGAUCUUCAGCUCUGCUCUUCUACAGCCAUUGCUAUUGUAUUUGGAUCUGAAAGGUAUCUGAAGUAAAAUAUUAGCAAGAAUGCUGCCAAGAAUGAGAUAAAUGAAGGAGGCUUAGUGGUGGAUAAUGCUGAAGGUUGAACUUUGACUGAAGAGCUACAGCUUCUUCUCACUGUAAAGACUGAAGUGUUUCUAUGCCUAGAAGGAGAAUAUACGAGGAAAUUUGUGUAACUUUAAAUGCUUGAAAGAAUUUCGAUAGUGCCAAAGCUAAGCAGUAAAUAAGUGGAAAAUUAGAACACUGAAUAUUGUUUUAAAUCUCAUCUAAAUCACCUGAAGUCUUGAGUAGGUCUAAAACUCAGCUGAUGUGUGUUUAAAAUUGCUACCAGUGGGAUAGAUUUGUUGAUAUUUAUCUCAGGGGAAUGUUGUGCUGAUAAAUGUGUCAAGUUCUCACCUAUUGCAGUAAUAACUGUACCAUGUAUGGAUGUAGACAAAUAAAAAGGUGUUUUAAAUGGCUUGUAAAACUUGGCAGAGAACAAAUCUCGUGAAUGCUUCUAGUUGAUCGCCAGGCUAUCAAAAUUCCCUUUACCAGUGUUGGGUGGUUACCUAUGUUGUUCCUGUGCAAAAUACCUGUGCCUCCCAUGAGCUGUGAAUCCGGUUUUUCAAGAGAUCAUUAAACAUGAAAGUACUAAACAUCCUAAUUCUUUCCUCCUAAAGUUAUAUCUCAGCAUUGUCUUCAUCAGUAGCCUUGUCUGCAGGAAGUGUAAAGUUUCCUGCUAUGAUUGUUUGAAUGCUGCCAAUUAUCAGAUCUGCUUUUGGCAGCUUUCCCCUCAACCUGCUGAUUAGCUAAUGUGCGGUUACUAAUACAAUAUGGGAAACGGGUGUAAACGAGGAAGCAAAAGAUUUAUUAAUUUCAUGUGCUAAAUACUGUUUGUAAUAUAAUUAUCAAUACUGUGAAAAGAAAUCCUGGCUUCUUGUGAAAUGGGGCACAAGAAUUUUGUAUGGUAAACAGGCGUAUUUUCCCCUUGAUGCACACACAAUUUUCAUUAGAUUCAUAGAAUUUAAAGGCAGGAGAGGGACCAUUAGAACAUCAAGUCUAACUACCUAUAAAACACAGGCCACAGAAUUUCAUCCCGUUACCUUGUAACACAAUUAAUGGAAGGCAGGAGCCAGAUCCAGAGCUGGAUGCACAGCAGCGUUACCAAGCUGGAAUAAUGGUGGUUUACACCAGCUGAGAAAUUGGCAGUGGAAAUAAAUGACAGCAGUUUAUGGAUUCUUUUUUUGCAUAAACCUAAAUGAAAAUGGUGACAUAUAUUUUAAUAGCAGUGAUGAAAGAACCGUGAUGGAAGUGAGUUUUGCAAAAUAUUUUAAGCUUUAGAAGAAAUGUUUUUUUUUUGUUCCAAAACCUUUCUGGGACGACUGCGUUCCCUGUCAUAAUCAAAACUCAUCCCUCCGCUGGAGGAAAGGCACAAAGUUAACAGAAGAAAAACGUUUCUCUUUAAAUUGAAACCUGUGCCAAGAUUUGUAUGUGUAAUUAAUUCGAGUCCUAGGAUUUUAGUGGGGGAAGGGAGGGCUAAAUAAUGCAAUAAAGCCCUGGAUUUUUCUAGAGCCAAGAACUUGAACUCAAAAGUUCAAUGAUUAAAAGCUGCAGGCGCUAAAAUGUAGAACCCGUGAUUUCUUUCAUUAGGUUCUAUAUUUGGCAAAACAAAAUGUCUCAUCACUCUUCUGUAGAAGUCUGUACGUGUGUAUGGACGAUGUUAUUAUACUUAGUGCUGAUAGAGCCUUAUCAUUUAGCUACAGACAGACUUCUACCUGCUCAGAGCUAUAGGGUUUAAGAAUGCACUCAGACAAUAUUGACAUAGCCAACACCAUAACAUCCUGCAAUCUGCGCAUAAACGGAGGCAUUCUGAAGACCUAUGCUCAACAAAAAAACUUCCUUCCUGCUGCCCUAACCCACGAGAGAGUGUUUAAAGGAAUAUACUGGUGUGGGGAGAAUAUCCUUCA
Coturnix japonica (Japanese quail) is the source of this 2422-nucleotide non-coding RNA. The record is from RefSeq and is a predicted model, not a curated record. NCBI's taxonomy places the organism in Eukaryota, Metazoa, Chordata, Aves, Galliformes, Phasianidae.